UCAGAUCGCUAGCUAAUCGCUUGCACUUUCAUAUGCGAGAGGAAAGUCCGGGCAGCAUAGGGCGUGACAGUCGCUAACGGCGACCGGGGGUGACCCUAGGGAAAGUGCCACAGAAACGAAACGGCCUGUGCGUCUCGCUUUUGCGAGGGGCACGAGGCAAAGGUGAAACGCGCGGUGUAAGAGACCGUAGUCGCGCAUGGUGACAUGCGAGAGAGGUAAACCCUGUCUGCUGCAAGGAGCGAGUUAUACACGUUCCCGCGAUACUCGCGAAUAGAUCCCGCUUGAUCCGUCGAGCAAUCGGCGGGCUAGAUAGAUGAUUAGCAUCCGGCAUGCGUCGGAAACAGAACCCGGCUUAUCGGCAAUCUGACAGU
This 371-nucleotide RNase P RNA is filed under the name Candidatus Saccharimonadota bacterium. RNAcentral describes it as "Candidatus Saccharibacteria bacterium RNase P RNA component class A". It matches the Rfam family "Bacterial RNase P class A". From Rfam's summary of the family: Ribonuclease P (RNase P) is a ubiquitous endoribonuclease, found in archaea, bacteria and eukarya as well as chloroplasts and mitochondria. Its best characterised activity is the generation of mature 5'-ends of tRNAs by cleaving the 5'-leader elements of precursor-tRNAs. Lineage: Bacteria; Candidatus Saccharimonadota. The record is from RNAcentral.